Molecule: ribosomal RNA, 643 nt
Filed under: Pseudomonas sp. RGB
Lineage: Bacteria; Pseudomonadati; Pseudomonadota; Gammaproteobacteria; Pseudomonadales; Pseudomonadaceae
Description: bacterial SSU rRNA
Rfam family: Bacterial small subunit ribosomal RNA
Source: RNAcentral
GAACUGAAGAGUUUGAUCAUGGCUCAGAUUGAACGCUGGCGGCAGGCCUAACACAUGCAAGUCGAGCGGUAGAGAGAAGCUUGCUUCUCUUGAGAGCGGCGGACGGGUGAGUAAUGCCUAGGAAUCUGCCUGGUAGUGGGGGAUAACGUUCGGAAACGGACGCUAAUACCGCAUACGUCCUACGGGAGAAAGCAGGGGACCUUCGGGCCUUGCGCUAUCAGAUGAGCCUAGGUCGGAUUAGCUAGUUGGUGAGGUAAUGGCUCACCAAGGCGACGAUCCGUAACUGGUCUGAGAGGAUGAUCAGUCACACUGGAACUGAGACACGGUCCAGACUCCUACGGGAGGCAGCAGUGGGGAAUAUUGGACAAUGGGCGAAAGCCUGAUCCAGCCAUGCCGCGUGUGUGAAGAAGGUCUUCGGAUUGUAAAGCACUUUAAGUUGGGAGGAAGGGCAUUAACCUAAUACGUUAGUGUUUUGACGUUACCGACAGAAUAAGCACCGGCUAACUCUGUGCCAGCAGCCGCGGUAAUACAGAGGGUGCAAGCGUUAAUCGGAAUUACUGGGCGUAAAGCGCGCGUAGGUGGUUUGUUAAGUUGGAUGUGAAAUCCCCGGGCUCAACCUGGGAACUGCAUUCAAAACUGACUG